AUUGAACGCUGGCGGCAUGCCUUACACAUGCAAGUCGAACGGCAUCGCGGGAAAGCUUGCUUUCCUGGCGGCGAGUGGCGAACGGGUGAGUAACACAUCGGAACGUACCGGCUAGUGGGGGAAAACCCGACGAAAGACGGGCUAAUACCGCAUACGCUCUUCGGAGGAAAGCAGGGGACCUUUGGGCCUUGCGCUAGCCGAGCGGCCGAUGUCCGAUUAGCUAGUUGGUGGGGUAAAGGCCUACCAAGGCGACGAUCGGUAGCGGGUCUGAGAGGACGAUCCGCCACACUGGGACUGAGACACGGCCCAGACUCCUACGGGAGGCAGCAGUGGGGAAUCUUGGACAAUGGGGGCAACCCUGAUCCAGCAAUGCCGCGUGGGUGAAGAAGGCCUUCGGGUUGUAAAGCCCUUUCGGCAGGGAAGAAAUCGGCGGGGCGAAUAACCCUGCUGGAUGACGGUACCUGCAGAAGAAGCACCGGCUAACUACGUG
RNAcentral lists this ribosomal RNA (490 nucleotides) under uncultured bacterium. RNAcentral describes it as "partial 16S ribosomal RNA". It matches the Rfam family "Bacterial small subunit ribosomal RNA", at positions 29 to 507 of the family's 1533-position model. The record is from RNAcentral.